CUACGGGACGCAGCAGUGAGGAAUAUUGGUCAAUGGGCGUAAGCCUGAACCAGCCAUCCCGCGUGCAGGAAGACGGCGCUAUGCGUUGUAAACUGCUUUUCCAGGGAAAGAAAACCCCCGACGUGUCGGGGCUUGCCGGUACCCUGGGAAUAAGCAUCGGCUAACUCCGUGCCAGCAGCCGCGGUAAUACGGAGGAUGCAAGCGUUAUCCGGAUUUAUUGGGUUUAAAGGGUGCGUAGGCGGAUUAAUAAGUCAGUGGUGAAAACCUUCAGCUUAACUGGAGACUUGCCAUUGAUACUGUUAGUCUUGAGUACGGUCAAGGUAGGCGGAAUGUGUGAUGUAGCGGUGAAAUGCUUAGAUAUUACACAGAACACCGAUUGCGAAGGCAGCUUACUGGGCCAUUACUGACGCUGAGGCACGAAAGCGUGGGGAGCGAACAGGAUUAGAUACCCCCGUAGUC
This 459-nucleotide ribosomal RNA is filed under the name uncultured bacterium. Its description in RNAcentral is "partial 16S ribosomal RNA". It matches the Rfam family "Bacterial small subunit ribosomal RNA", at positions 339 to 795 of the family's 1533-position model. The record is from RNAcentral.